This 253-nucleotide ribosomal RNA is filed under the name uncultured bacterium. Its description in RNAcentral is "partial 16S ribosomal RNA". It matches the Rfam family "Bacterial small subunit ribosomal RNA", at positions 524 to 776 of the family's 1533-position model. RNAcentral also lists the same sequence under 1 other name. The record is from RNAcentral.
UACGAAGGGGGCUAGCGUUGCUCGGAAUCACUGGGCGUAAAGCGCACGUAGGCGGGUCCUUAAGUCGGGGGUGAAAUCCUGGAGCUCAACUCCAGAACUGCCUUCGAUACUGAGGAUCUCGAGUCCGGGAGAGGUGAGUGGAACUCCGAGUGUAGAGGUGAAAUUCGUAGAUAUUCGGAAGAACACCAGUGGCGAAGGCGGCUCACUGGCCCGGUACUGACGCUGAGGUGCGAAAGCGUGGGGAGCAAACAGG